ACAUACACGCGGGCGCACACAAUCAUAUAUUGUGUAAAACCUUUGAUAUAAGAAGUUUCAACCUUAAUGUGCAGAGUCAAAGCUGAUUCAAAUUUUAGUCUUUAUAAGUUAUAUCAUAUAUGCAGCAAUACCAUUCAAUCUUGAAAGUAUUUACCCUUAUUAUCUAUAAUUUUUUGCCAUCUCUCGGGUGUAAGUUUCGCAUUCCGUUGCAACAGAAAGACAUCAGUUUGGAGGUAAUGAAAUUAUCGAUCUAUUUUCGUCAUCCAUUUCUACCACAUCUCGAAAACGCUGUCCGGCUAAAGCGUUUUGCAUCGACUGGAAUAAAAGAUAAUUCGAAGGCGCCAAGUCAGUUCUGCAGCCAAAUCAUUCCCAGUGAGAAGGAAUUGGGCAAGAUGCCAGCAAGAGGGAGAUUAGCACUUAAUCACUUUAACACAAAUUUUAUAAUAAGCAGCUAUAUUUUUAUAUUUAGAAAUUGUUCUACAAAUUCUUCCAAACACUUUCUAUUCUUUUUCUUCUAAUAAAUAAUCAAA
Long non-coding RNA from Ooceraea biroi (clonal raider ant), 530 nucleotides. RefSeq lists it as uncharacterized. The record is from RefSeq and is a predicted model, not a curated record. NCBI's taxonomy places the organism in Eukaryota, Metazoa, Arthropoda, Insecta, Hymenoptera, Formicidae.